Non-coding RNA from Helianthus annuus (common sunflower), 102 nucleotides. NCBI's taxonomy places the organism in Eukaryota, Viridiplantae, Streptophyta, Magnoliopsida, Asterales, Asteraceae. The record is from Rfam.
AGUCGAACGAGAUAUUGGUUCGGUUCAAUAAGAACAUAAUGUUCAAAUGGCGUGUUGAAUGUUGCUUUCUGAUUGAGCCGUGCCAAUAUCACGUGCAUGUUG